GUCUUUUUGAGAAUAAUAUAAAGUCAAAUCUGCCCACUGAAUUUAUUUAAAGGGCUGCAGUAUAUUGACUGUACAAAGGUAGCAUAAUCAUUAGUCUUUUAAUUGAAGACUUGUAUGAAUGAUUUGAUGAGAUAUAAGCUGUCUCUUUAUUAAUAUUAGAAUUUAAUUUUUUAGUUAAAAAGCUAAAAUAAUUAUAAAAGACGAGAAGACCCUAUAGAGUUUAAUAUUUUUAUAAAUUUAAAUUUUAUAUAAAAUUUUAAAUUUAAAUUUAUAAAAAUAUUUUAUUGGGGUGAUGGAAAAAUUUAUUAAACUUUUUUUAAAAUAAAAACAUUAAUAUAUGAAUAUAUGAUCCAUAAUUUAUGAUUAUAAGAAUAAAUUACCUUAGGGAUAACAGCGUAAUUUUUUUUUUUAGUUCAUAUAAAAAUUAAAGUUUGCGACCUCGAUGUUGGAUUAAGAUAAAAUUUAAAUGCAAAAGUUUAAAAUUUUGAUCUGUUCGAUCAUUAAAAUCUUACA
This 513-nucleotide ribosomal RNA is filed under the name Colotis chrysonome. Its description in RNAcentral is "partial 16S ribosomal RNA". The stretch from base 387 to 513 matches the Rfam family "Bacterial large subunit ribosomal RNA", at positions 2473 to 2600 of the family's 2925-position model. Lineage: Eukaryota; Metazoa; Arthropoda; Insecta; Lepidoptera; Pieridae. The record is from RNAcentral.